AAGGAAUAUUGGUCAAUGGAGGCAACUCUGAACCAGCCAUGCCGCGUGCAGGAAGACGGCCCUAUGGGUUGUAAACUGCUUUUGUACCAGAGAAAACCCUUCUACGUGUAGGAGGUUGAUAGUAUGGUAAGAAUAAGCAUCGGCUAACUUCGUGCCAGCAGCCGCGGUAAGACGAAGGAUGCAAGCGUUAUCCGGAUUCAUUGGGUUUAAAGGGUGCGUAGGCGGACCUGUAAGUCAGUGGUGAAAUCUCUCAGCUUAACUGAGAAACUGCCAUUGAUACUGCAAGUCUAGAGUAUAGAUGACGUUGGCGGAAUAUGACAUGUAGUGGUGAAAUACUUAGAUAUGUCAUAGAACACCGAUUGCGAAGGCAGCUAACGAAACUAUAACUGACGCUGAGGCACGAAAGUGCGGGGAUCAAAC
RNAcentral lists this ribosomal RNA (420 nucleotides) under uncultured bacterium. RNAcentral describes it as "bacterial SSU rRNA". It matches the Rfam family "Bacterial small subunit ribosomal RNA", at positions 356 to 773 of the family's 1533-position model. The record is from RNAcentral.